UAGAGUUUGAUCAUGGCUCAGAACGAACGCUGGCGGCGUGCUUAACACAUGCAAGUCGAACGCGAACGAGUUCUUCGGGACUUUAGUAGAGUGGCGCACGGGUGAGUAACGCGUAAGUAAUCUACCUCGGCAUCUGGAAUAACACAUCGAAAGGUGUGCUAAUACUGGAUACGUUGAGUAAUCAAGAAAGGUGGCCUCUGAAUAUGCUACUGUGCUGAGAUGAGCUUGCGUACCAUUAGCUAGUUGGUAGGGUAAUGGCCUACCAAGGCGACGAUGGUUAGCGGGUCUGAGAGGAUGAUCCGCCACACUGGAACUGGAACACGGACCAGACUCCUACGGGAGGCAGCAGUGAGGAAUAUUGCGCAAUGGGGGAAACCCUGACGCAGCGACGCCGCGUGGAUGAUGAAGGCCUUCGGGUCGUAAAAUCCUGUCAGAUGGAAAGAAGUGUUAUGUGGCUAAUAUCCAUGUAACUUGACGGUACCAUCGAAGGAAGCACCGGCUAACUCCGUGCCAGCAGCCGCGGUAAUACGGAGGGUGCAAGCGUUGUUCGGAAUUACUGGGCGUAAAGCGCGCGUAGGCGGUUUUAUAAGUCAGAUGUGAAAGCCCAUGGCUCAACCAUGGACGUGCAUUUGAAACUGUGAGACUUGAGUAUUGGAGGGGGUGGUGGAAUUCUCGGUGUAGAGGUGAAAUUCGUAGAUAUCGGGAGGAAUACCGGUGGCGAAGGCGACCAUCCUGGCCAAAUACUGACGCUAAGGCGCGAAAGCGUGGGGAGCAAACAGGAUUAGAUACUCUGGUAGUCCACGCCGUAAACGAUGUCAACUAGGUGUUGGGACGGUUAAUCGUCUCAUUGCCGCAGCUAACGCAUUAAGUUGACCGCCUGGGGAGUACGGUCGCAAGAUUAAAACUCAAAGGGAAGUG
Molecule: ribosomal RNA, 918 nt
Filed under: uncultured bacterium
Lineage: Bacteria
Description: bacterial SSU rRNA
Rfam family: Bacterial small subunit ribosomal RNA
Source: RNAcentral